GCCAAAUUAGUUAAGUGGUAUAACGGCUGACUCGUAAUCAGUUAUCACGAGUUCGAUUCUCGUAUUUGGCACCA
This 74-nucleotide transfer RNA is filed under the name Mycoplasmopsis columbina. RNAcentral's name for it is "Mycoplasma columbinum tRNA-Thr(cgt)". It matches the Rfam family "tRNA". Rfam says of the family: Transfer RNA (tRNA) molecules are approximately 80 nucleotides in length. Their secondary structure includes four short double-helical elements and three loops (D, anti-codon, and T loops). The record is from RNAcentral. RNAcentral also lists the same sequence under 1 other name. Lineage: Bacteria; Bacillati; Mycoplasmatota; Mycoplasmoidales; Metamycoplasmataceae.